AGCUUUAAGACAAAGAUUUAAAGUUAGACCUGCCCAGUGUAAAAUUUACCUAUAAAUGGCCGCGGUACACUGACCGUGCUAAGGUAGCGCAAUAAAUUGGUUUUUAAUUGGAGCCACGUAUGAAUGGAGUUACGGAGUUUUUCUGUCUCUUAACUAUUAUAUUGAACUUACUAUGUAGGUGAAAAAGCCUAUAGUAUGAAAAAAGACGAGAAGACCCUUAGAGUUUUUUUUUGAAGCAGUUUGGUUGGGGCAACAUGGGAACAAAUUUCCACAAAUCGAAUAUAUUAGAGGUGAAUAAACUACCUUAGGGAUAACAGCAUAAUUUAAUAGAUAAGUUUGUGACCUCGAUGUUGGACUGGGAAACUAGGAGGUUAGUCGCCUUCUGGGUAAGUUCUGUUCGAACUGUUAAUUCCC
This 414-nucleotide ribosomal RNA is filed under the name Martadoris limaciformis. Its description in RNAcentral is "Tambja limaciformis partial 16S ribosomal RNA". It matches the Rfam family "Archaeal large subunit ribosomal RNA", at positions 1908 to 2666 of the family's 2987-position model. The record is from RNAcentral. Lineage: Eukaryota; Metazoa; Mollusca; Gastropoda; Nudibranchia; Polyceridae.